AAUACAUGUACCUCAAUAAUUUUAUCAAGGGCAUGUUUUGUGCUAGAUACUACUCUUUAUGUUAGGAAUAUAAGCAAUUGUAUAAGAUACUUACAGAUUGCAGUAAGUGGUAAAAAAUAUAACAUGAAGAGGGAAUAGUGAUGAGAAGGUAACUAUAUAGGGGAGUGGUCAGGGAGUGCUUCACUGAAGAUGUAAAAUAUGAACUGAAACCUAUAUCCUGAUUUAAAAUAGCUUUGCAGAUGUUUUAGGUAAAUAGCAGCAAGCGAACAAUACCAAAGUUUUUAUUUUUGUAAUUUGAAAUCAAUGUGCAAGCCAGAGCUUCUUUAGGAAAGACCAUUCCUGAGAGAACAACAGGAAGAAAUAUGAAUGUUAAACAUGUGGUGCCGUGUGGAAGCAAAGCUCCAUAAUUAAUCUAUAGAGCCAUCACCACUGUCAAAAGCAGAAAGGCCCCAGAGGAAAUAAUUUUUGUAUAGAAUGAUGGCAGCAUUAGUGACAGCAGUAAUGAUAAGACACUGAAAAAGGGAAUCAGAGCUAUUUCCAUGAAUUAAUGUCUUAAUCCCCACAACAAUGAGGUCGUGGUCAUCUAGUUGUAGAAUGACUCCUGCCUGCUACAUUUCCCCAGAUACCCAGGACCUUCAUGCUGUCACUCUCCAUGACCUGACCAACAUCUAUUUUGAGAAAUUAUUUUAUAUACUCAUUCAAACAGUCAUCUUUUGUGUCCAGAGUUGGUUCCUUCUGGUGGGUUCGUGGUCUCGCUAACUUCAAGAAUGGAGCCACGGACCUUCGCGAUUUACAUACAAAUGAACCACCAAUGUCCCCUUCUAUCAACUCAGAAUAAAAUCUGGUUUUAGCAUAUGCAGUCCUACGAGACAUGGUUAAAGGAUAUGAAUGAUAGAUAGAGAUAAAAGAAAUCAAGGACCAUUCCUCCACAAGUCUCCAAAGAGGAAAACAACAAUCGAAGAAAAAAGAGUGAGAGAACA
Molecule: long non-coding RNA, 980 nt
Filed under: Homo sapiens (human)
Lineage: Eukaryota; Metazoa; Chordata; Mammalia; Primates; Hominidae
Description: HSALNT0314035
Source: RNAcentral